UACGAGGGGGGCAAGCGUUGUUCGGAAUUAUUGGGCGUAAAGGGUGCGUAGGCGGUCUGACAAGUCUGAUGUGAAAUCUAUGGGCUCAACCCAUAGUCUGCAUCGGAAACUGUCGGGCUUGAGUAUGGGAGAGGUGAGUGGAAUUUCCGGUGUAGCGGUGAAAUGCGUAGAUAUCGUCUGGAACGCCGAAGGUGAAAACAGCUCGCUGGGGCUGCGCUGACGCUGAGACACGAAAGCCAGGGGAGCGAACGGG
Molecule: ribosomal RNA, 253 nt
Filed under: uncultured bacterium
Lineage: Bacteria
Description: partial 16S ribosomal RNA
Rfam family: Bacterial small subunit ribosomal RNA
Source: RNAcentral